CGGUUCUUAUUUGCAAAGGCAUCCACAGUCUCACCAGCUAGUGAACUUGAGGCGGCUCUCUCAAACUGGGUAAGCUAACCGUAAAAGUUUGAACUAUUGAACCUUUAUAUUAUGGUUUUAAGACAGUUUAAGAACACUAGUUGAUGACAGUUUAAGAACGCUAGUUGAUCACUUACAUUUUACUUAUUUUGUGUUGGUCACUCAUUAACUUCAUUUUGUUCCAAGUUGGUAGUUAAAAUCAAUUUGUACUUCAUGUCUAUCUCGCAAAAAGAUUAAACUGCAUUCUCAAAGGAUAAAUUGGCUGGGUUUACUCCGUUUAUCCAGAAGUCAUUGUAAAAGUCAGAAUUCUUGCCUAGAGCACAAUUUAAUGAUUUGAAGAAUUCAUUCGUUGUGGAACUUGUGAAUAGAAAAAAUUAUGAUAUAUCUUACAUGAGAAUUGUCAUCAAUGAUGCAUCAGAAGAAAAAAAACAUUCUAUGGAGAAACUGAAAGAAAAAUG
RNAcentral lists this long non-coding RNA (497 nucleotides) under Olea europaea (common olive). RNAcentral's name for it is "long non-coding RNA (OEUR_LNC008728)". Lineage: Eukaryota; Viridiplantae; Streptophyta; Magnoliopsida; Lamiales; Oleaceae. The record is from RNAcentral.